UACGUAGGAGACGAGCGUUGUCCGGAAUUACUGGGCGUAAAGCGCGUGUAGGCGGAUGGGCAAGUCUGCUGUGAAAGCUCCUGGCUUAACCGGGAGUGGUCGGUGGAAACUGCCAAUCUGGAGGACGGUAGAGGUAGGUAGAAUUCCCGGUGUAGUGGUGAAAUGCGUAGAGAUCGGGAGGAAUACCUGUGGCGAAGGCGGCCUACUGGGCAGUAGCUGACGCUGAGGCGCGACAGCGUGGGGGAGCAAACAGG
Molecule: ribosomal RNA, 254 nt
Filed under: uncultured bacterium
Lineage: Bacteria
Description: partial 16S ribosomal RNA
Rfam family: Bacterial small subunit ribosomal RNA
Source: RNAcentral